This is a long non-coding RNA of Dama dama (fallow deer), 489 nucleotides long. RefSeq lists it as uncharacterized. The transcript is spliced from 3 exons. The record is from RefSeq and is a predicted model, not a curated record. Lineage: Eukaryota; Metazoa; Chordata; Mammalia; Artiodactyla; Cervidae.
GAAGCCUUCAGCUUCCCUUUAACUCUGGCAAGGAAAAGAUGCCUAUGCCUUCUGAUCCUCUUUCCACUCCGUGGAGCAGAAAACUCUUCACCACUGGAGCUUGCUGAGGAGGAAAUGCAUCAAAGCAACGUGGCUGCUUCCAGGGACAGGCAGUGAUGGCUCCAGUUUAUAUUAAGGCCUGUGUGGCUGUGGAAGCAGGUCUUAGCUGUGGCGUGUGGGAUCUAGUUCCCUGACAAGGGAUCGAACCCUUCCCCCUGCAUCCAGAGCACAGAGUCUUGGCCACUGGACCACCAGCCUUAUUGGGUCUAUACUGGAUUCCGUUGACCAGUGGAGACUUGGAACCAUGAAGUUCCAGGAGGGAGCUGUUUUCACUCCUAUGUUCAACCUCAAACCAACCUGUCACAGAUUUAUCAAGGAGGAGGAAGAUGGCCUUAGUUCACUUCAUGCUCCAGGAAUAGUUCUAGGCGUGCAUUCGUCUAGUGGACAAGA